RNAcentral lists this long non-coding RNA (490 nucleotides) under Serinus canaria (Common canary). RNAcentral's name for it is "lncRNA (ENSSCAG00000004467.1)". The record is from RNAcentral. Lineage: Eukaryota; Metazoa; Chordata; Aves; Passeriformes; Fringillidae.
GUGCUGCAGAGACCUGUAUUCUGCUCCUGGGAAUGUGUAAUGAAUGCCAGCAGGCAGCUCUGUGAUCAGCAGAAGACACAGCCAAUCCAGCCAGACUGGCUAAGUGGGUAUUGCACAUUCCUCAGCACACUCGGGGAGCUUGCCGAAAACCAGGAUGUCUUGGGCUUUUUUCAGCAUUCCAAAUGAAACAACGAAGGUGUGCUGAUGGAAAUCGUGGAUACGAAGCUCCGAUAAUUGUCCCGGAUUCCUGAGCCCUCCGUCCUUCAGCGGGUCCAAUAAUGAACAGAGAGAGAGAGGACUGGAUGUGCCUGCCUGCCUGGAAUGCAGCCGGAGCUGAAAGCUGACACCAGCUCGCUGGAAAAGGACUUGCGAGCAAAGGCUGUCUCCAAGACAACAGAGUAUUUUCCCUGUGAUGCAUUUACACAGUGGGGUUAAAGUUCUAUGAAAGCAACAGCUGUUGUAAAAACAUUGUAUUAAAUAUGCUUAGAAC